RNAcentral lists this transfer RNA (72 nucleotides) under Candidatus Uhrbacteria bacterium. RNAcentral describes it as "tRNA-Gln". It matches the Rfam family "tRNA". Rfam says of the family: Transfer RNA (tRNA) molecules are approximately 80 nucleotides in length. Their secondary structure includes four short double-helical elements and three loops (D, anti-codon, and T loops). The record is from RNAcentral. Lineage: Bacteria; Candidatus Uhriibacteriota.
AGGGGAGUAGCCUAGUGGCAAGGUGCCCGGCUUUGAACCGGGAAAUCGAGGGUUCAAUUCCUUCCUCCCCUG